AUGAGGAAAACAAGAAGGAAAGAUGGAACUUGUCUAUUAGGCAUUCACUGACUGCCACAGAAAGCUGCAAGACCGGAACUUGGCUGAUUGAGAAAUCAGCAGUCUUUCAGCCGUGUACUCGGGCAUAAAGGCUAUCAAACUUUCUGCAUUCCAGAAUUUUGGGGGGUGAAAUGGAAGAUGCAAUGCCAGGAGCAUUCAGUCUGUGCGCCAGCCCGCGCACAGGGCUCACUGCGAUGCGUUUACAGAAAUGAAAGCCACAACAACAGGUUUAGCUUUGCUCAUUUCAACCUGUUCUAAAAUAGCCCGUUCUGUUCUCCGCUGUUUGCUGGCGGGUGGGUGGUGCAGCUCAGCGAUGUGCUGCAACCACUGCAGGGGCUGCAGGGAGCACUGCCGCCAUCUGCGAUGUGGAUCAGACCACCCUGCCAUGCUUGUGGCUUGGGCCCAGCUCCCGUCCUUCACUGCGGGGCAGGAGGGUCAUUACAUGGUGCAGUGUUUGCAGACCCUCCUGCUGAAACGGAGGGGUUGAACCUGUAAUUGGCGCUGGCCCUACACAGGCAUGGGGCACAAGGCAGGAAGAGCUAUGUGGUGUCGGAAACGGGAGGGCAAGGGGCUCACUGCCCCUGCUGGAGACUGUGGCUGGGAUGUCCUGUUCAGGGCAUCAUCCACACCUGCAUGUCCUUGUAGCAUCAGCAGCGCCAGCAGUGCCUUCCUGGUGCUUUUCCAUGGAUCCAGUUCUUGUGUCCCUUCUGGGUGAUGGGUUGUGCUCUGCAGCAGCAGCAUGAGGAAGGAAAGUGUGAUUGGUGAGAUGGGGCCACGGCUGCACUUUAAAGGCUUUGAUAGCAAUCACCGUGAGCAGAUGAGGAAGCAUUACAGCAAGCUGCGCACUGAGCCUGGACCAUGCAGCCUCUCCAGUGUGCUCACCUGCUCCUCCUGCUUGCCCUGCUUGCCUUCUGCUUGCCCUCAGGCUGGGCGGAGGACAACAGCACCAUGACAAAUGGGGCACCAGACCAGAGCCCGCCCUGCGGCAGCCCGGCCCUCCUGUCCCUCGCACUGGGGCUGGCUGCGUUCCUCCUGCGGCUGUGCUGAGCUGGGCCCGAAGACCCCUGCAGGCCGGCAUCCCCCUGCUCCGGAUCUCCGCCGCCAGGCCCAGCCAGCUCCUGUCCCCGUGUUCCCGCAGCGCUUCCCUAUGGCCGCAGCCUCCAGGAGGACCAACUCCAAGCACAGCCUCCGCAGUUGUGCUGUGAAGCUCUGAGAAAUAAAGUACGAGGCUCUAACGCGUUUGUUCUAGUGCUGUUACGGGCUGGCAUUGGGGGGCGCUCGCUGAGGGGAGGACGAGGCCCGCUCGCGCCUCUGGGGCGGCCGCAGCCGCGCGCUGACCGCCGAGCUGAAGCAGUACGAGGGCACAGCGCCCCCAGCAGGACGGGCAGACCCAAUGCACCGCCCUCGACCCAGCGCUGGCCAAUCACAGGCGGUCUUCGCCGAGCGGACCAAUCAACGAGCUCAAAUCAGCUCUGUACCAAUCUGAAGCUGCCAAUUGCGAGUUCUGGCCUAUCCCGGCUCGGCGGGGUCUAUAUAAGGGCGGGAUGAGGGCGCUGGUGUUGCUCUGCGGCGCGAUGCUGCAGGCGGGGUUGGUUUGGUGCAGCUGCGUGCUCGCUGCGGGUCGCCCCACACGAGGGGGCUGAGCCGCACCGGCAGCAUC
Gallus gallus (chicken) is the source of this 1699-nucleotide long non-coding RNA. Lineage: Eukaryota; Metazoa; Chordata; Aves; Galliformes; Phasianidae. The record is from Ensembl.